This 261-nucleotide unclassified non-coding RNA is filed under the name uncultured fungus. RNAcentral's name for it is "partial contains 5.8S rRNA and ITS2". The record is from RNAcentral. Lineage: Eukaryota; Fungi.
AACGCACAUUGCGCCCCCUGGCAUUCCGGGGGGCAUGCCUGUCCGAGCGUCAUUGCUGCCCAUCAAGCCCGGCUUGUGUGUUGGGUCGUCGUCCCCCCCGGGGGACGGGCCCGAAAGGGAGCGGCGGCACCGUGUCCGGUCCUCGAGCGUAUGGGGCUUUGUCACCCGGCUCGGGUAGGUCCGGCCUGCCGCCAGCCGACGUCUACAACCAUUUUUCUACAGAUUGACCUCGGAUCAGGUAGGGAUACCCGCUGAACUUAA